GGAUCACAUAACUGACUCUAAAGCAUGAAAAAAGAAGUGACCUGGUGGAAUUGCUUCUUUCCAGGAAUUCCCAAUGUCUUCCUUUUCAACAUUGGACCUAGAAUAAAAUUUUGUUUGAAGGAGUUAGUGGAGUUUAAACUGCAACCCCCCAUAGAACAGCUGCAUUAAGGUGUAUUCAUCGGUGUGAAGGUAUGUAUCACAUGGAUAUCAUAACAUCUUUGUGUGGCAACUGUUAGAGUUUAUUUCUUUUUCAUAGGGAAAGGCGCUUGUCAGGUGCAGAACUGUACAGCAUGAUUGGCAAAGCCCUUAAAGAAUACAAGGUUAAAUAAAAAAAUGAAGAUCUGUUAUUUUCAGUGGUGGCAUUUAUUGAUACUUGUUUAGAUAGAGACUCAUUAAGAAAAUCCAGUUACUUGAUAUGAAUACUUCUCAUAGUCUUCAGAUGAAGUCUGCAAGGGAGAACAGUAAUGAGGAGCAUUUACCUUAACAUUUUUCUUAGCACUGUCCUUAAAAGCAGCCUUUGCCCAGUACCCUCGAGGUAUGGGCAAGGUGCUUGGAAGGAAGAAUUAUUUAUCAAGAGCAUUAAAUAAAAUCAGUGAGCCAACAAACUUUUUCAAGAAUUGUCCAAGGGAGAUCAGAAAAUAAAGAAACAGUUGCUUGUGAUUUUGGUUUAUGCUUUAGUAUUUUUUAAUGAACUGUUUAUUGUUGCACUGUAUUGUGACCUAUUGAGAUCAUGGUGUUUCUAUAUAGCUCGCCUUUUUGCUGACUUGGUAGAAAUGUUAAUUUUCUCUUGUGUACAUACAUUCUGUCUCUCACAAAGCGCUGCUGGGAAUAUUUGUACAUCCGAGAUACCAGUCUGCCCAUUUUUUAUGCUGAGUUGUUCGGGUUAGCAGUGUCUGGAAGUGGAUUAUUGUGGAUUGUAUGUAAAGAGAAUGAUGAUUUCUCUAUGAUUAUUAAAAAAAAAAAAAAAAAAAGA
Molecule: long non-coding RNA, 973 nt
Organism: Strigops habroptila (Kakapo)
Lineage: Eukaryota; Metazoa; Chordata; Aves; Psittaciformes; Psittacidae
Exons: 3
Source: RefSeq, a predicted model, not a curated record